Lagenorhynchus albirostris (white-beaked dolphin) is the source of this 1141-nucleotide long non-coding RNA. RefSeq lists it as uncharacterized. Lineage: Eukaryota; Metazoa; Chordata; Mammalia; Artiodactyla; Delphinidae. The transcript has 4 exons. The record is from RefSeq and is a predicted model, not a curated record.
GGCGCGCCAAGCAGACAGAGCCCAAGGCGCCCUCCAAGAACGCGCGCUACUUGGAAUUCCCCUGCCGGAAACCCGCAAAGCUGGAAAGCACCUCAUCUCAGCCCCUCAUUGCACCAAUAAGGAAGUAGGUCCCAGCGAAAAGAGGCGGCAGGGGCGGAACACACGAGCGACAGAGCUACCGUAAUUUAUUGUUAUAGAUUUGUACAACCAGAUCAGUCCUUGAAGGAUGGGAAAGAGCACUGAUAAUCACAGAAGCAAAAGUGAUCCUUCACCAAAGGUAGCUUGAGAAGCACAGAGGCCUCAUCAGUAGCCUAAGAACAAUGAAGGGAAGAGACAUAUGCGACCCAAUAACAGUUCCCUGACCACGGAACGAACCUGAGCCUUCUGCCCUGGAAGCUCAGAGUCUUAACCACUGGACCGCCAGGAAAUACACUCUGGGACUUCCCUGGUGGUGCAAUGGUUAAGAAUCUGCCUGCCAAUGCAGGGGACACGAGUUCGAUCCCUGGUCCAGGAAGAUCCCACAUGUCGCGGAGCAACUAAGCCCGUGCACCACAACUACAGAAGCCUGCGUGCCUAGAACCUGUGCUCCGCAACAAGAGAAGCCACUGCAAUGAGAAGCCUGUGCACCACAACGAAGAGUAGCCCCUGCUCACUGCAAUUAGAGAAAGACCACGUGCAGCAACUAAGGCCCAACACAGCCAAAAAUAAAAAUAAAUAAAUAAAUAAAAUUGUUAAAAAAAAUCACACACACACAAAAAGGUGAUACACUCUGAAACAUUUAGGGGUAAAGGGGUAUAAUGUCUGCAACUUCCUCCCCAAUGAUCAUAUGUAUAUGUUUAUAUAUAUAAUUAUACAUUAUACAUAAUAUACAUAUUAUUACAUGUACGUGAUUAUGGAGCAAAUAAGGGCAAAUAAGGCAAAAUGUUAACAAUUGAUGAAUUAGGUAAAGGACAUAUAGCAAUUCUUAUAUGAAAAUAAAAAGUUAUUUAAAAAUAAAUAAUAAAGCCUACUGCCAACAGAUGUGGACAAUUCUGAUGUGCAGCAAUUCCUCAUGCUUCUCACGAGUCUUUGAGUUUUCUGUUACAAUAAGUCCCAAGACCUGUAUCCUGGGGUUAAAUUGUGCAACCAACUGAUGGAUAUG